AGUACGACAUCAUCCACAAUUAACUCGCAAGCAGCCAUUCUAUACGUUGAUGUCAUUGCUCCUCGGUGGAAGGGUACCGCACGUCACGUAUUGUGGAUUACACGUUGCACAGCACUGGCCUUAGGUAUAACCAUGACAGCGUACAGUACGCUGUUUGUAUAUAUGGGAUCCCUGAAUAGAGUGUUUCUGAUGGUAUACACAGGACUCACUUCGCCUUAUGUAGGAUUAUGUCUACUGGCUAUACUAUUCCCGUUUGUACACUCCAAGGGUGCAGGCGUGGCGACAAUAGCCACCGUUAUCUUCCAAAUAUGGCAUAUCACAAUAUCACUACGGAAUAGCACACCACCACCCAGGAUGCCAAUUUCCUUGGAGCACUGCCCUGGAAACGUCACGUUGUUUACUUCAACGCCAACGAUAUUCAACAUAAGCAGCUCGUUCGAAG
Molecule: long non-coding RNA, 442 nt
Organism: Dermacentor silvarum
Lineage: Eukaryota; Metazoa; Arthropoda; Arachnida; Ixodida; Ixodidae
Exons: 4
Source: RefSeq, a predicted model, not a curated record